GACGAACGCUGGCGGCGUGCUUCAUACAUGCAAGUCGAACGAGAAGCAGGAGCUUGCUCCUGUGGAAAGUGGCGGACGGGUGAGUAACAUGUAGGGAAUCUGCCUUUAGGCGGGGAGUAACAGUUGGAAACGAUUGCUAAUACCCCAUAUGAGCUUAGUUGAGAUACUAAUCUUGAAAACUCCGGUAGCCUAGAGAUGAGCCUGCAUCUGAUUAGCUAGUUGGGGGUGUAAGUGGACCACCAAGGCGACGAUCAGUAGCUGGUUUGAGAGGAUGAUCAGCCACAAUGGGACUGAGACACGGCCCAU
RNAcentral lists this ribosomal RNA (306 nucleotides) under uncultured bacterium. Its description in RNAcentral is "bacterial SSU rRNA". It matches the Rfam family "Bacterial small subunit ribosomal RNA", at positions 28 to 334 of the family's 1533-position model. The record is from RNAcentral.